RNAcentral lists this ribosomal RNA (253 nucleotides) under uncultured bacterium. RNAcentral describes it as "partial 16S ribosomal RNA". It matches the Rfam family "Bacterial small subunit ribosomal RNA", at positions 524 to 776 of the family's 1533-position model. The record is from RNAcentral.
UACGUAGGGGGCAAGCGUUGUCCGGAGUUAUUGGGCGUAAAGCGCGCGCAGGCGGCCUCGCGCGCCCGACGUGAAAGCCCCCGGCUUAACCGGGGAGGGUCGUUGGGGACGGCGGGGCUUGAGGGCGGGAGAGGUCGGUGGAAUUCCCGGUGUAGUGGUGAAAUGCGUAGAGAUCGGGAGGAACACCUGUGGCGAAGGCGGCCGACUGGGCCGACCCUGACGCUGAGGCGCGAAGGCGUGGGGAGCGAACGGG